Molecule: ribosomal RNA, 254 nt
Filed under: uncultured bacterium
Lineage: Bacteria
Description: partial 16S ribosomal RNA
Rfam family: Bacterial small subunit ribosomal RNA
Source: RNAcentral
UACGAAGGGGGCUAGCGUUGUUCGGAAUUACUGGGCGUAAAGCGCGCGCAGGCGGUCUUCCAAGUCAGUGGUGAAAGCCCGGAGCUCAACUCCGGAACUGCCAUUGAAACUGUUGGACUUGAGUACGAGAGAGGUGAGUGGAAUUCCCAGUGUAGAGGUGAAAUUCGUAGAUAUUGGGAAGAACACCGGUGGCGAAGGCGGCUCACUGGCUCGUAACUGACGCUCAGGCGCGACAGGGUGGGGAUCAAACAGGG